UACCAGCUCCCCCGAGUGGUCGGGACGUUUAUUGGGCCUAAAGCAUCCGUAGCCGGCCCUGUAAGUCCCAUGUUAAAUCCAAUCGCUCAACGAUUGGGCCGCAUGGGAUACCGCAGGGCUAGGAGGCGGGAGAGGCGGACGGUACUCCGCGGGUAGGGGUAAAAUCCACUGAUCCGCGGAAGACCACCAGUGGCGAAGGCGGUCCGCCAGAACGCGCUCGACGGUGAGGGAUGAAAGCUGGGGGAGCGAACCGGAUUAGAUACCCUGGUAGU
RNAcentral lists this ribosomal RNA (272 nucleotides) under uncultured bacterium. RNAcentral's name for it is "partial 16S ribosomal RNA". It matches the Rfam family "Archaeal small subunit ribosomal RNA", at positions 474 to 745 of the family's 1478-position model. The record is from RNAcentral.